Molecule: ribosomal RNA, 457 nt
Filed under: uncultured bacterium
Lineage: Bacteria
Description: bacterial SSU rRNA
Rfam family: Bacterial small subunit ribosomal RNA
Source: RNAcentral
CGAUACGAGUUUGAUCCUGGCUCAGAACGAACGCUGGCGGCAGGCCUAACACAUGCAAGUCGAGCGCCCCGCAAGGGGAGCGGCGGACGGGUGAGUAACGCGUGGGAACGUACCCUUUGCUACGGAAUAGCCUCGGGAAACUGGGAGUAAUACCGUAUGUGCCCUUCGGGGGAAAGAUUUAUCGGCAAAGGAUCGGCCCGCGUUGGAUUAGGUAGUUGGUGGGGUAAUGGCCUACCAAGCCGACGAUCCAUAGCUGGUUUGGGAGGAUGAUCAGCCACACUGGGACUGAGACACGGCCCAGACUCCGUACGGGAGGCAGCAGUGGGGAAUCUUAGACAAUGGGCGCAAGCCUGAUCUAGCCAUGCCGCGUGAGCGAUGAAGGCCUUAGGGUUGUAAAGCUCUUUCAGUGGGGAAGAUAAUGACUGUACCCACAGAAGAAGCCCCGGCUAACUCCGUG